UACGGAGGGUGCAAGCGUUAUCCGGAUUCACUGGGUUUAAAGGGUGCGUAGGUGGGAAUGUAAGUCAGUGGUGAAAUCUCUGGGCUUAACCCGGAAACUGCCAUUGAUACUAUGUUUCUUGAAUCUUCUGGAGGUCAGCGGAAUAUGUCAUGUAGCGGUGAAAUGCUUAGAUAUGACAUAGAACACCAAUUGCGAAGGCAGCUGACUACGGGAGUAUUGACACUGAGGCACGAAAGCGUGGGGAUCAAACAGG
This 253-nucleotide ribosomal RNA is filed under the name uncultured bacterium. RNAcentral describes it as "partial 16S ribosomal RNA". It matches the Rfam family "Bacterial small subunit ribosomal RNA", at positions 524 to 776 of the family's 1533-position model. The record is from RNAcentral.